Molecule: ribosomal RNA, 453 nt
Filed under: uncultured bacterium
Lineage: Bacteria
Description: partial 16S ribosomal RNA
Rfam family: Bacterial small subunit ribosomal RNA
Source: RNAcentral
AACGAACGCUGGCGGCAGGCUUAACACAUGCAAGUCGAACGGGCCCUUCGGGGUCAGUGGCAGACGGGUGAGUAACGCGUGGGAACGUGCCCUUCAGUUUGGGAUAACCCAGGGAAACUUGGGCUAAUACCGGAUACGUGCGAGAGCAGAAAGAUUAUCGCUGAAGGAUCGGCCCGCGUCUGAUUAGCUGGUCGGGAGGGUAAUGGCCUACCAAGGCGACGAUCAGUAGCUGGUCUGAGCGGAUGAUCAGCCACAUUGGGACUGAGACACGGCCCAAACUCUUAGGGGAGGCGGCAGUGGGGAAUAUUGGACAAUGGGCGAAAGACUGAGCCAUCCAUGCCGCGUGAGUGAUGAAGGCCUUAGGGUUGUAAAGCUCUUUUAGUAGGGAAGAAGCGAAAGUGACGGUACCUGCAGAAAAAGCACCGGCUAACUACGUGCCAGCAGCCGCCGUAA